RNAcentral lists this ribosomal RNA (722 nucleotides) under Actinomycetes bacterium. RNAcentral's name for it is "bacterial SSU rRNA". It matches the Rfam family "Bacterial small subunit ribosomal RNA", at positions 82 to 817 of the family's 1533-position model. The record is from RNAcentral. Lineage: Bacteria; Bacillati; Actinomycetota; Actinomycetes.
CUCUGGGGGAUUAGUGGCGAACGGGUGAGUAACACGUGAGCAACCUGCCCCUGACUCUGGGAUAAGCGCUGGAAACGGCGUCUAAUACUGGAUACGAGUAGCGAUCGCAUGGUCAGCUACUGGAAAGAUUUUUUGGUUGGGGAUGGGCUCGCGGCCUAUCAGCUUGUUGGUGAGGUAAUGGCUCACCAAGGCGUCGACGGGUAGCCGGCCUGAGAGGGUGACCGGCCACACUGGGACUGAGACACGGCCCAGACUCCUACGGGAGGCAGCAGUGGGGAAUAUUGCACAAUGGGCGGAAGCCUGAUGCAGCAACGCCGCGUGAGGGAUGACGGCCUUCGGGUUGUAAACCUCUUUUAGCAGGGAAGAAGCGAAAGUGACGGUACCUGCAGAAAAAGCGCCGGCUAACUACGUGCCAGCAGCCGCGGUAAUACGUAGGGCGCAAGCGUUAUCCGGAAUUAUUGGGCGUAAAGAGCUCGUAGGCGGUUUGUCGCGUCUGCUGUGAAAUCCCGAGGCUCAACCUCGGGCCUGCAGUGGGUACGGGCAGACUAGAGUGCGGUAGGGGAGAUUGGAAUUCCUGGUGUAGCGGUGGAAUGCGCAGAUAUCAGGAGGAACACCGAUGGCGAAGGCAGAUCUCUGGGCCGUAACUGACGCUGAGGAGCGAAAGGGUGGGGAGCAAACAGGCUUAGAUACCCUGGUAGUCCACCCCGUAAACGUUGGGAACU